Molecule: long non-coding RNA, 248 nt
Filed under: Gallus gallus (chicken)
Lineage: Eukaryota; Metazoa; Chordata; Aves; Galliformes; Phasianidae
Source: RNAcentral
UGCAACUUUUAAAGAAUUCUUGAUGGAGCUGAGUUCCCACAUGUGUAAGUUUAUGAUGUGCAUGCCACAACAUCCCCUUGUGAUCUUGUACAGGUUUUUAAGUACGGCUUUCCGGAGAAGAAUGUACACCCAGGGAUCUAAAAUCUGAUUCCAUGUUGCCAUCCGGAGAGCGAAAAGUAUUGUUUCACAGUUCUCCUUUGAAUGACUUGCAUUUAUCCCAAUUCUGGCCAUUGACACCAGGAAUGGAC